This is a long non-coding RNA of Trachemys scripta elegans, 1242 nucleotides long. RefSeq lists it as uncharacterized. The transcript has 3 exons. Lineage: Eukaryota; Metazoa; Chordata; Testudines; Emydidae. The record is from RefSeq and is a predicted model, not a curated record.
UUUAUCCACAUCCAAAACCCACCCCAGAGUUCUACAUGACUGUUUCUGUCCAUAGCCUGGGGUCAGGAUUAAAGAGCAUUGGUAGGGGCCCAGGAUUGGAAGAGCAGAGGGACUGCAGGUCAAUACUAUGGGGUCCCAGCAGAGUGUUUGUGAGGGGCUCAUAAUUAGAAUAACAAGGCCACUGCAGAUCUGGAUUGAGGUACAUUGGUAAUGUACAGAAACCUCUUGCACUGCACCUAUCAGUAUUAUGAGUGGCUUUAGCCAAUAGUAUCACUUCCUCAGAUUCCUGUCCCACACCUUCCUUUUUGACCUCCCUGAUAUGCAUACUCUCAGCUAUGGGAGCUAGAGGCCAGGGCCAGGGAAUCAGGCCAGAUCUCCGCUAUAGUACGUCUCUUUUUCUAAAUUGGCACCAAUCACUAACGUGAGAUUUAAGGCCAGAUUCUGCCACUCUUAUUCACAAUGAGUAUUCCCUUAGUCUGAGUAGUCCCUUUGAUUUUAAAUAGAGCUAAUUGAAGACUAAGAUACUACUCAGUGGGAAUAAAAGAGGCAUAAUCUGGCAAAUAAUAAAUAACACAGCAAACAUGCACCCCUCUGCUGUUUCACUCUUUACUGUUUCCAUGGCAAAGAGUAUCUUAAUCCUUAGAAUUAAGCAACAUCGCCCCCUGCAUGUAAAGUACAUUGAAGCAUCCUGGCGUUUUAUCAUAGGGCCCCACUGCCUGUUGAGUAUCAGUUUUACUCAAAUUAACUUAAUGUAAACCAGCCCUGCAAGUUCCAACCUGGUCCCCUCUGCUCUUGGCCAUAAAUGCCUGGCCUGGGGAGAAAGGAGAGAGGCAGAGAUGGAAUCGCGCUACACAGCAAUCCAUCAGGAAUGGACACCACUGGCAAACGGACACAAGGGAUCAACAGCAUGUAGCCCUGCCCAGGUUGACUCUUAUUUCUCUCUGACAGGUACCUGAAGGGCCUGGCUCUUUUCUUUACACUGGCAUCACUUGUGGGCCCAAUCAAUUCUCCUUGAAAUGAACGGUCUCUCUCCAGGUCAUCAUAGGAACUAGUGCCCAAAAUUACUGAGAUGACAUCAUAGUCACAGGUCUGCAGAAAACAGGGGGUUACUCAGGUCCCUGACCACUGGAACGGGGUGGGACGAUUACGGAAUAAGUCAGCUGCCAAGUGAAAGGGGGAAGAUCUGCCUGAAGUCAGGAGACCCCCUGUCCGACUGCAGUCUUCCCUUGCAAUUGCUCGUAA